Molecule: small nucleolar RNA, 94 nt
Filed under: Pogona vitticeps (central bearded dragon)
Lineage: Eukaryota; Metazoa; Chordata; Lepidosauria; Squamata; Agamidae
Description: Small nucleolar RNA SNORD35 (ENSPVIG00000021313.1)
Rfam family: Small nucleolar RNA SNORD35
About the family: U35 is a C/D box snoRNA located in intron 6 of ribosomal protein L13A and intron 3 of ribosomal protein S11 in humans and at homologous positions in mouse and chicken ribosomal protein genes. U35 guides the methylation of 2'-O-ribose sites in 28S rRNA.
Source: Rfam by way of RNAcentral
UGGUGGUGAUGUAUGAACUCACGAUGGUCUGCAUAGGCCCCCAUAGGUGGGGGGCUGCUGAGAACGCCAGUUUGGCAGUUGGUGAACCAAGGAG